UACGUAGGGUGCGAGCGUUAAUCGGAAUUACUGGGCGUAAAGCGUGCGCAGGCGGUUCGCCAAGUCAGGUGUGAAAUCCCCGGGCUUAACCUGGGAAUUGCGCUUGAAACUAGCGGGCUUGAGUGUGGCAGAGGGGGGUGGAAUUCCACGUGUAGCAGUGAAAUGCGUAGAGAUGUGGAGGAACACCGAUGGCGAAGGCAGGUCUCUGGGCAUUAACUGACGCUGAGGAGCGAAAGCAUGGGGAGCGAACAGG
Molecule: ribosomal RNA, 253 nt
Filed under: uncultured bacterium
Lineage: Bacteria
Description: partial 16S ribosomal RNA
Rfam family: Bacterial small subunit ribosomal RNA
Source: RNAcentral